Long non-coding RNA from Oncorhynchus keta (chum salmon), 599 nucleotides. RefSeq lists it as uncharacterized. Lineage: Eukaryota; Metazoa; Chordata; Actinopteri; Salmoniformes; Salmonidae. The record is from RefSeq and is a predicted model, not a curated record. The transcript has 4 exons.
UAUAAAAGCGCAUGUCCUCCUCCACGUAGAUCUUUCCAGUCGCAUGUUGAAGUUGGAGAAGGAUCAUGUCUCGCCACUCUCCUGAUUACAACAGGCUGCAAUGUCAUCGCCCAAGCACGGGCAAGACUGCCAUGUUUUCCAUCUCUAUCCUGCAGAAUUGGACCCAGGCUCUGGUGCUGGCCCCCACCACAGAGCUGGCUCAGCAGGUAUGCUGUGCCUAAGGUCUGGAUUAACGUACAUGUUUAUCAGACCGAGGGCAGAAUAUUUGGACAAUCUACAACUAAAAAGAUCCAGAAGGGGCUUCUGGCUCUGGGGGACUACAUGGGGGCGUCCUGGCAUGCUUAAGUUGGGCACUAAUGUCCGCAAAGACUGCAGGCUGGGUCCCCCUGCAUAGUGGUAUGAACACCAGGCUGGAUGUUUGAUGCUUAACAGGUGACUCCUGUAAGUACUCAUCAGUGUGGUCCUCCUCUCCUGUCAGCCACCAUGCCUACUGAUGUGCUGGAGGUGACCAAGAAGUUCAUGUGAGAGCCCAUUGGCAUUCUGGUGAAAUAAAAGGAAUUUCCCUAGAGGGUAUUAAGCAGUUCUACAUCAAUGUAGAG